RNAcentral lists this long non-coding RNA (715 nucleotides) under Equus asinus (donkey). RNAcentral's name for it is "lncRNA (ENSEASG00005035407.1)". The record is from RNAcentral. Lineage: Eukaryota; Metazoa; Chordata; Mammalia; Perissodactyla; Equidae.
GUCUUCGCCAACAUUUGGGUUUGAGACCCUACCCACCUCCCUCUCACCCCCAAGCCCCUUUUCCCUGGCGGAUGCCUUACCACCGUCAUUCCUUUAUCUAAAAUUUUCCUUUCCUUUAUACUCACUGGUGCCUUGUUAGGAAACGAAUCUGGGUUCAGCCUCAGGCAUCUGAAGCUUCUGGGAGAAGAAUAGAAUGGGACGGUAUAGAAAAACAACUGAGUGUGGAAUAUUCAUCGACAUCUAUUCCACUCAGCAGCAGGCACUUUGAGAGGCACUGGAGAUGAUCACACCUGGAGAACCUCAGCCUCUGCCUUCAAGGGGACACGAAAAUCCAUGAUGAAAUGCCAUGUGAUACGUGCUAUGAUUCCAACAUAUGACUCAGCCCUCCCAAUUUCAUGUCAUCUGAAAAUAUGGCAUACAUGCCUUCCAUGUCUUCAUCCAGGUCCAUGAUAAAAAUUGUCAAAGGAGAGAGAAAACUUUGGCACAGUACCAGAGAUCUUCAUCCAAACAAUCUCAAAUCGUUCAUCAGCUAUGAAUCUACCUAACAUGACAGGAUCCAGCCCACAUUUCUAUAUUAAUAUCACAAGACUCCAUCAAAUGCCUGAAAAAAUGAAGAAGGGCAACAUUCUAUGCAGGGAGGAAUAAUGAGAAAAAGAGCAGAGAAACAUGUGAUCUAUUUCUCAUAUGGAGAAUAUUCUCUCUGUAUUAAAAAAUU